GACAGAGGGUGCAAACGUUGCUCGGAAUUACUGGGCGUAAAGCGCGUGUAGGCGGCAAUACAAGUCGGAUGUGAAAUCCCGCGGCUUAACCGUGGAAGUGCACCCGAAACUGUAUCGCUAGAGUCCCGGAGAGGAUGGUGGAAUACUUGGUGUAGAGGUGAAAUUCGUAGAUAUCAAGUGGAACACCGGUGGCGAAGGCGGCCAUCUGGACGGUGACUGACGCUGAGACGCGAAAGCGUGGGUAGCAAACAGG
RNAcentral lists this ribosomal RNA (253 nucleotides) under uncultured bacterium. RNAcentral describes it as "partial 16S ribosomal RNA". It matches the Rfam family "Bacterial small subunit ribosomal RNA", at positions 524 to 776 of the family's 1533-position model. The record is from RNAcentral.